Molecule: ribosomal RNA, 450 nt
Filed under: uncultured bacterium
Lineage: Bacteria
Description: partial 16S ribosomal RNA
Rfam family: Bacterial small subunit ribosomal RNA
Source: RNAcentral
GUGGGGAAUAUUGGACAAUGGGCGAAAGCCUGAUCCAGCCAUGCCGCGUGUGUGAAGAAGGUCUUCGGAUUGUAAAGCACUUUAAGUUGGGAGGAAGGGUAGUAACCUAAUACGUUGCUACUUUGACGUUACCGACAGAAUAAGCACCGGCUAACUUCGUGCCAGCAGCCGCGGUAAUACGAAGGGUGCAAGCGUUAAUCGGAAUUACUGGGCGUAAAGCGCGCGUAGGUGGUUCAGUAAGUUGGAAGUGAAAUCCCCGGGCUCAACCUGGGAACUGCUUUCAAAACUGCUGAGCUAGAGUACGGUAGAGGGUGGUGGAAUUUCCUGUGUAGCGGUGAAAUGCGUAGAUAUAGGAAGGAACACCAGUGGCGAAGGCGACCACCUGGACUGAUACUGACACUGUGGUGCGAAAGCGUGGGGAGCAAACAGGAUUAGAUACCCCUGUAGUCC